This 104-nucleotide ribosomal RNA is filed under the name Blautia sp. TM10-2. Lineage: Bacteria; Bacillati; Bacillota; Clostridia; Lachnospirales; Lachnospiraceae. The record is from RNAcentral.
GCUUAGGGGACACACCCGUUCCCAUCCCGAACACGAUGGUUAAGACCUAAGCGGCCGAUGGUACUGCACUGGAGACGGUGUGGGAGAGCAGGUGGCUGCCAGCU